RNAcentral lists this long non-coding RNA (7770 nucleotides) under Nicotiana benthamiana. RNAcentral's name for it is "long non-coding RNA (NBEN_LNC006264)". The record is from RNAcentral. Lineage: Eukaryota; Viridiplantae; Streptophyta; Magnoliopsida; Solanales; Solanaceae.
AAAAAUGUACGUGAAUUGUAGUUCAUACUUAAAUAUGAAAGAUGAUGAUGACAGUGCUGGUCGUACUUCCCUACUGAUUCUAAGCCAGAAUCGUCGUCCUGUUGAUGAUGACGAAGUAAUAUUUUGAUCAGAAGAACCUAGAGAGCUCUCUAUCUUUCCACCAUAUGUAUAUCUAAUGCAAUAACGUACGGAGAAUGUCGACGAUCUUUAUAACUCGUCAGCUAUGAUUAAUAAAUAAGCUGUGUGUUUAUUAGACAAGUUUUUUUUUUAAAAACCCAGUAUAAUCCCACUUAGUGGGGUCUGGGGAGGGUAAUAUGUACGCAGACCUUACCCCUNNNNNNNNNNNNNNNNNNNNNNNNNNNNNNNNNNNNNNNNNNNNNNNNNNNNNNNNNNNNNNNNNNNNNNNNNNNNNNNNNNNNNNNNNNNNNNNNNNNNNNNNNNNNNNNNNNNNNUCCCGGCAUCCUUCCCUCCAAGAACUUCCCACCUUGCUCUUGGGAGACUCGAACUCACAACCUCUCGGUUAGAAGUGAGGGUUGCUUACCAUGAGGGUUACUUAUUAGACAAGUUUGUUUUCUGCUUUUCUGCACAAGUCCCUUCACCCCUUGCAGACAUCAAUUAAUUGUGUGGCAAUAUCCUCCAAAUUCAAAAUUAUACUGCAUCUUUCUUCACGUCAAGCAACUCCUUUCCACUAUAUCAAACCUUCUGUCGUAUAAUGGCCUAUGGUUCAAGUUCUCCCCGUAGGCCCCAAUCACUAAUCUCUGAUGUUCUCCAAUCAUUCCAAACUUUUCUUAAGGCACGUAGUUAUCCUACUACCAAGCCCAUAUGCAACACCCGCCACCCUCCCACUUUGGCGGAACUCAUUUUCUUAAUCGGUCACUCGACCUUGCUUCUCAUACUUAGCCUUCUAGAAAUUUAAACGCUUCCUGACACUUCCCACAUGACUUUCUCAUGCUCUGCCGCUCAAUUGUUUCUUUAAAUAAAAUAUACCUUAGCGGCACUUGAAUCCACCAUUGCUGCUAACUUUAGAACCCCUCCAAAGGUCGUCCUUAUCAAUCCAUCAACAUUAGAAAUUCUGAUUUGAUCUUAAACAACCGCACCAUGCGAUAUCUGACAGCUGUAUCUCCAAUACUAUUUCACAAUAUGCUGUCAUAAGGCGAAUUGUAGCAAGUUAUAAUAUCGACAAACUUAUUACGUUUCAUUAGGGCCACAACACCCCAUCAUAAUAGAAAGCUUAACCACGCUUACAAUUGCUAAGUCUCAUUACUUCCAGUAGCCACAUCUGACCAUUGUUAAUCCGACUGCCCUUUUCCCCUACCGGAAAUAAGAUACUGAAUCUCUUGAUUACACGAUGAGUAAACUUCCCUUCAAUUCAUCCACUUCCCCCGACACGUGGGAAAAUAUCAUACCAUCACAACCACACCGCGGAAUAAUAACUUAUAAACAUCAUGGCAACCUGUGCCUAGUCUCAAGGCUCUUAGAAGUUAUGUUACUGAGCUGAACAAUAGAAUAUCUUCCCAUAAAGCAACUAUAAUAGUUUAAAGCAAUUAGAUACCAUGUCUAAAAGGUUUAAAACAAGUGUCAGCAUUUAGAUACCAUGUCUACAAAGUUUCUGCAUUUAGAUACCAUGUCCAUAAGGUUUCUGCGUUUAGAUAUCACAUCUAUAAGGGUCUAAAAUCAGUAACGUAUGGAAAACAUGCCUAGAUGGGUUUCUAAAUAAAUCUGACUCGCUUUCACUUACAUUCAAUGUUAGAUACAAAAUCAGUAAUAGUAGAUACUAUCACCAGCAGAACUUGUAACCAAUUUAUUUAAUUUUUGUACAUUCUGUAUCUCUUUUAAUAAUCUAAGUCCCUCACUUAACAAGUUUAACAAGUAUGCAUAUAGGACCUCAAACAAUUCAUUCCGAGCCUUACUAUCUCAUCACCUUCUAAAUUCAGUAGAUAUCACGCCAAUAGGAUCCCGUCUAAACACUUAGGCAAGCCUUAGAGUAAUAAAUGUAAACUGAAUCUGCUUCUAGUAAUCAUUGCAUCCAGUAGGCAGGCCUUGUUCAGACUUCUUAUUUGAGUUCUGUAAUAAACCAAUCUGCCUCAAUAUUUAAACUACCUUGUCGUUGGUAUUUUUAAUCAAACCUAAAAAGUAUGUGCAAGUCAUGCUAAUCAUAUGUUUUCUUUGUUUAAAUAGGUGUAUAUGAGCCUUUGUCUAUUUAUAUGUUUUCCCAAAUAUGCAAUAUGUGUUUUGUAUGUCGCUUUAGAAUUUUUACCUUUGAAACUUCAAAUAAGCCCAAUAUCCCUCCUUUUAGGAUUAGUAGUCCUAAGUGCCUUCGGGACUGAUAUGAAUGGGACGGAUAAUAGCAUGCAAUAAGUAGUCGAGAUCAAUCCACAUUUUAAAUACCUUAAUGGUGUAGGAAGGGUAGAUAUGGAUAUGAUGACCACGAGAUAAUGUCACGUGUAGCUCCUCAUUGAGGAGUAAUUAACGGAAAUUUUGUGGGAUGAUCCAUAUUUUUAUAAACCUAGGACCCCCCCCCCUUCCUUAAUUCUUUUUUCUUUUUUUAGCAUUUCAAAUCAUUAUUUAAAAAAUUAGCUUUUCUAAUUGUUCUUUCAAACUUUGUUUACUUUCAAACCAUUAUGUGUUAAAAUUCCCUCUUAUUUGAGCCUUAUCUGCCUAUAUGUUAAUUGCACCUCAAUUCACAAUAAUUGUCUGACCAGGAAUCACGCUAGUGGAUUCUGAGGUGUGCCUAACAACUUCCCGUUAAUUUCAAGGCCUUACUCUAUCUUUGGUUAUUCAAUCAAACUCAAAGUUGAAUCUCUUUUGGUAUCCUAAUGCACCUCAAUCAUUAGGUGGUGACUCUUCAAAUGCAAAUCUAAUUCCCAAAAAGGAACGAGUUGUGCCUCCAAAUAUCAUAAACCCGAUUUUGUAAGAAAGGGAAUCACGCUAGUGGAUUCUGAGGGGUGUCUAACAACUUUCCCUUAAUUUCAAGGCCUUAUCCUAUCUUAGGUUAUUCAGUCAAACUCAAAGUUGAAUCUCUUUUGGUGUACUAAUGCACCUCAAUCAUUAGGUGGUGACUCUUCAAAUGCAAGUCCAGUUCCCAAAAAGGAACGAGUUGUGCCUCCAAAUGUCAUAAACCCGAUUUUGUAAGAAAAAGGUGGCGCGACAUCAUGGCGACUCUACUAGGAUUUCAUUUAGGCUUUUAGCAUUUCGGACUAUUAUUCUGAAUUUAUACCUAUUUAUGUUCAAUUACUUGUUUAAUUCUUUUAAGCAUUCAAUUUCCUUCUCAACUACAAAACUAACUUGUCUCCUUUGGUCCAUUGUUUUAUUACUUCUUUAGAUUAUGAAACUGUUGUAUUUACUGCUUUCUUAACGUGCAAAUAUGUGCCAACAUACUUUUUAAUUAUUUCAUAACCAUGCUCAAAAUCAUUUUUCACUCGUGCCAAACAAAUACCAUAACAACGCUUAUAAUGAGUGGUUAUUCUCUUCCGAUAUUAUCACCUCGUAAUACCAAAAAUAGGCACAUUUGUGGCAAAACCAGUCAAUCAACGGUGUAGGCGACGGUUACGUGCCUUUCCCCUUGAGUUGUCCGCUCAAGGUACCAGUCUACAACCCCGUAGAAACCUUACUCUGUUUAACUGUGCAUGCAUCAUUAUCAACCCUAAUUGAGUCAGUUAUGUUGUCCGCAUAAUGACCCUUUAAGAUAGUCUUAUCCAAAGUCCACUGGGUUUCCCUAAAUUCAAACGAACAUUAUCAGGUCGUGUGCAUUUAUUUGGAAAACUAAUUAUUUUUAUGCUAAUAAGUCGAGUCAGAUGGGGGUAAGGGCCUAACCCCUUUUUGUCUUGCAGAAAUAUCAGGCACGAAGUCCCUAGAUUUGGCAUGGUCACCAACAUCACCCAAAAUUGGUAAGCUGGUGGGAGGAUCUUCACUCCAGGGAUCAGACCCUUGUCCGGAAAUAUCUGGCAACCUACCUUCCCUUCUGGAAAUUCAACCAAACAACAAGAUCAUAGACACUGCUACUUUAUUCUUGGAUUAUGGGAGGUUCCUAUUCUAUUUUUGGGACAUUGAAUGACAUCCUUGCUAGAAGAAAUAGGGGGAUUGGCCGGUAUACCAUGGGAAACUCCGGGUUUGUUAAUGCCUGAGAACCGCAAGGGCAGAGGCUUCCUCAAAAUGAUGGGUUUGAAUAAGAAUCCAGAACUGACAUGUUUGAAAGAAUCUUAUAUCCUCUUUGACUAUUUGUAUGAGAGGCAUAGUCAUAGCAAAUCCUACCAUACCUAUUCUGACGAGUUUGCCAUCACAUUACUAGUGCAUAUUCAUCAAAGAGUCUUCGUCUUCAUGUUUUGUUUCCCGAGGAUGAUAGUGUUUUCAAUGAAGAAAGAAAGGAUCCAUACCAGGCUGGCUAUGGUAACUAAUACUCUAAUGGAGGGAAUUGGUGGGCAACCAUUCACUAUUGUGCCCAUGAUCAUCGCAAAAUAUACCGGGCCUUGGAGAAGUGUCAACAAGGAGCCAAAUACUUUGAGGGCUGCAAUUUGCUACUCUAGCUUUGGCUCAUGGAGCAUAUCCAAAAGGGUGAAUACCGACAAGAUAUUCAACAAAGGAACUGGGAUGAUCAUAUAGCCUUCUAUCAUCCAAGGCGAAUGAAUUACAUGCCCAACAUGUUCGCUCAGUCGGAAGACGCCAAGGGAUGGGUAGAGCUGUUUGAUAAUCUGAUUGAGGGUCAAGUACAAUGGAUGUUCGAGUGGUUCCCUACCGAGGAGUUCAUUGCCCGAUCCAGGGAUGCACUAUUUAUGAUACUGAUCGAUCUGAGAGGAACAUAUCCAUACGUCCCUCUACGAGUUAUAAGGUAAGCUGGUAAGAAGCAGGUUGUACCCAGGGUUCACAAGAUGAGUCAUUUCCGAGCCAACUUCUAGGAUGAUGAUAGCCUUUACAAGUUCCAAGUUCAGCACAUGUGGCACUGCAAUAUCAUCAUGGGAAGGGAAACCAUCGAGCCAGAUAGAUACCAUGCUAGUUGUGCUCCCUACUAUUCAGGCUGGUUGGAGAAUAAUAAUAAUGGUCUGGGCCAGCCUAGAUUUGUUUGAGGUCACAUUAUCAUAGAUGAAAAGGCCGAGGCACAGGUCAAAUACAAUCAACUGGGCAUGAGAAUCUAGGAAUGUGAAAGCGAGCACUGUAAGAUACAAGAAGCCAACCAAAUGUUGAUCGAGGAGGGGAAAAACAUGGUAUUUAGUGCCAACAAACGACUGGGAUACUUGGAGCGGGGUAUAGUGGAGAUGGAAAGAAAAUUCCUCAAAAGAAAGGAUUGCCAAAAUGUUGAAGGAAACGAGGGCGGACAUCUAGCCAGAGCCUACCUAUUGCUAGGACUUCGCGAGCUAGGGAAGCUUUUCGACGGAUCCAAGGAUCCCGAAUCUGAGGAAGGUCCUUCUGGGACCAAAUAGAUAGGAGUUUAUCCUUUCGCUUUAUAAAAUGUAAUAAGGCCAAUGGCCAUUAGUGAUUUUUCCUUUCCUAUUUUCUUAGUGUCGAUUUGGGAUUCGUGUACUUCUUAUCAAUAAAAUGAGGCAUUUAUCAUUCUAUGUUCUCCAAAUACAUUUGUCUCUAGGCCUACCUCAAGCACAAAGAGAUUCCCAAAAUUAGGAUGCAUCUUACGUUUUGCACUAUAUGUAUAAAUAUCGCAACAUUUUCUUAUAAUAUUCACUGACUUGUUACCUUUUUGUUUUUACUUUUUGUUUAUUUCUUCCCCUCCCCAAAGAUUUGUUCGUGCACUCUGGCAAUAUCAUCUUAUUCCAGGAGAUCCAGGGGCCCGCCACCCACUUCUCCUCUUAGUCCUGUCUAAAACAAGAACUAAGGGAAGAUGGAAGAUCAAUGCCAGAAAGGAAACCUAAUCUGAAUAGGUAGAGGUCACUCAUGGUCAUGGCACUCUGGUUCCUAAGGAAAAUGCAUUCCAACUUGAACAAAAACUGCUGAAAUUUCAAGAAGAGCUCGAUUAGGUUCGGAAUCUGGCAAAUCUGCCAUUUUCCUUCACCACUACAGAUGUUAAUUUCCCAAAUGCUCAGAACCCUACACCUCCACAGAACAUCCCAAUGCAGCAAAACCAUCCCACUCCUCACUACCACUACAAUGUCUGCCAUACCUCAAGAAACAUCCUGAUGCUUGUCCCAAAACUCCAAAAAUCCACAAAUGACCACUCCACGCCCACCAUAACACCCUCAUCUACGCGGAGACCAUGCCACACUCCACUCAACCCAUCUCAAUAACACAUGAGUCUGAUGAUAACGAAUUGCUCAUCAGGAACCUGGCCAAAAAGCUUACGAAAUUGACCAUCCAAAUUCAAGGCAUCGAAGGAAGCAAGGGAAUUGAGGGGAUAAACUAUGAAGAUCUUUGCAUACAGCUCGAUGUCGAACUGCCCGAGGGGUACAAACCUUUGAAGUUUGAAAUGUUUGUUGGUACAAUGGAUCCAAGAGUCCAUUUGAGAAGAUACUAUGAUAACCUGGUCAGAGUAGGGAAGGACAAAAGAAUCCGCAUGAAGCUUUUCAUGAGGAGUCUGAAAGGAGAUGCUCUAUCUUGGUACAUUAGCCAAGAUCCAAAGAAAUGGUCAAACUAUGUGGAUAUGGCGUCUAACUUUAUGGACAGGUUCAGGUUCAACACAGAGAAUGCGUUGGAUGUGUUCUACAUUGAGAAUAUAAAGAAGAAGCCUAUAGAGAUAUUUCGCGAGUAUGCUACUCACUAGAGGUCAGAAGCUGCUAAGGUUAGACCUGCCUUAGAAGAGAAACAUAUGAACAAAUUCUUUGUCCGGACCCACGGCCCACACUAUUAUUAAAGGGUGAUGAUGAUUGAGAGCCUCAAAUUUUCUGAUAUUAUCAAGCUGGGUGAAAGGAUGGAAGAGGGCAUCAAAAACGGUAUGGUUACGGAAUUUGAGGCUUUGCAAGCUACAAAUAAGUCCUUACAGUCCGAUGGUGUGCCCAAGAAAAGGGAUGUAGGAGCCGUAAUGGUUGCACAAAGAACCAAAUCUCCCAUCAAAUACCAAACAUAUUCAAUGCCUCCACUCAGCCACCCCGAACUAUCAAGCACCCUCACCCUUUUACCAAACUCCACCACCCACUUAUCAAUCGCCUCCACCUCCUAUAUAUCAGCCUACUUCACCCAGAUAUUUCCAACUCGGCAUGUUUAUCAAUCCUACAAUACUCAACCUUCCCACUAUCAAUCACUUUCUGCGCCUUAACUUCCCUAGACCUCGACCAAACUUCGACCGUAGUCCCCCAAAAUAAUGUACAUCCAUUACUGAACCUAUUAACUUGUUGUACGAAAGACUCAAAACAGUUAUUUACACAAUUACUGCUAUAAUUUGAACCCUCAUACUUGAGUUAUUUGGAUAAUUCUCAUCACCAUCAUUAUGCUUCACUCAUUUUCUUCGAUACAAGCCAUUCGGAUAUAUAUGACUGAUAUUUAUUGUCAGAACUUGAUUCCGCGUCCAAUUUAAGCAAAGAAUCAUAUGACUAGCUUUGAUAUAAUUUCCGCUUACAAAAACUGCUAUAAAUAACAUGUACCAAAGGAAAUCCAAGCAAAAGUAAUAAGAAGGAGAAAAUGUACGUGAAUUGUAGUUCAUACUUAAAUAUGAAAGAUGAUGAUGACAGUGCUGGUCGUACUUCCCUACUGAUUCUAAGCCAGAAUCGUCGUCCUGUUGAUGAUGACGAAGUAAUAUUUUGAUCAGAAGAACCUAGAGAGCUCUCUAUCUUUCCACCAUAUGUAUAUCUAAUGCAAUAACGUACGGAGAAUGUCGACGAUCUUUAUAACUCG